AUGGAUCACGACCUGCUCCUCCUCCUCCUCGCCUCCCUCGCCGCCGUCGCCGCCGCCGCCGUCUGGCACCUCCGCGGGGCCAAGAGCCCGAAGCUGCCGCUGCCGCCGGGGCCCAGGGGGUGGCCGGUGCUGGGCAACCUGCCGCAGCUGGGCGACAAGCCGCACCACACAAUGGCGGCCCUCGCGCGCCUCCACGGCCCGCUCUUCCGCCUCCGCUUCGGCAGCGCCGAGGUCGUCGUCGCCGCCUCCGCCAAGGUCGCCGCCGCCUUCCUCCGCGGCCACGACGCCAACUUCAGCGACCGCCCGCCCAACUCGGGCGCCGAGCACGUCGCCUACAACUACCAGGACCUCGUCUUCGCGCCCUACGGCGCCCGCUGGCGCGCCCUCCGCAAGCUCUGCGCGCUCCACCUCUUCUCCGCCCGCGCCCUCGACGCACUCCGCACCGUCCGCCAGGACGAGACACGCCUCAUGGUCACCCGCCUGCUCUCCUCCUCCUCGGGCUCGGUCUCGCCCGCGGGCCUGGCCGUCGGGCAGGAGGCCAACGUGUGCGCCACCAACGCGCUCGCCCGGGCCGCCGUUGGGCGCCGCGUCUUCGGCGACGGCGUCGGCGAGGGCGCCAGGGAGUUCAAGGACAUGGUCGCCGAGCUCAUGCAGCUCGCCGGCGUCUUCAACAUCGGCGACUUUGUGCCGGCGCUCCGCUGGCUCGACCCGCAGGGCGUCGUCGCCAAGAUGAAGCGCCUCCACCGCCGCUACGACCGCAUGAUGGACGGCUUCAUCAGCGAGAGGGGCGACAGGGCUGACGGCGACGGGAAUGACCUGCUGAGCGUCAUGCUGGGGAUGAUGCGGCAGUCGCCGCCCGCCGCCGGCGAGGAGGAUGGGAUCAAGUUCAACGAGACUGACAUCAAGGCUCUCCUCUUGAAUCUGUUCACCGCUGGGACGGACACGACAUCAAGCACGGUGGAAUGGGCACUGGCGGAGCUGAUACGACACCCAAACGUCCUCAAGAAGCUCCAACACGAGCUCGACGACGUUGUCGGAAAUGGCCGCCUCGUCACCGAAUCCGACCUGCCACAACUCACCAUCCUCGCCGCCGUCAUCAAGGAGACGUUCCGGUUGCACCCGUCGACGCCGCUCUCCCUUCCCCGGGUGACCGCCGAGGACUGCGAGGUGGACGGCUACCGCAUCCCCAAGGACACCACCCUGCUCGUCAAUGUGUGGGCCAUCGCCCGUGACCCGGCCUCAUGGGGGGAUGACGUCCUAGAGUUCAGGCCCGUCCGCUUCCUGGCGGGCGGGUCGCACGAGACCGUGGAUGUCAAGGGGGGCGACUAUGAGCUCAUUCCAUUCGGGGCGGGGCGAAGGAUAUGCGCGGGCCUCAGCUGGGGCCUCCGGAUGGUCACACUCAUGACCGCCACGCUCGUGCACGCGUUCGACUGGACCUUGGUUGAUGGCAUGACACCUGAAAAGCUCGACAUGGAGGAGGCCUAUGGUCUCACCUUGCAGCGGGCCGUGCCGCUAAUGGUUCAGCCCGUGCCGAGGUUACUGCCAUCGGCGUACACAGUGUGA
This 1563-nucleotide ribosomal RNA is filed under the name Triticum aestivum (bread wheat). RNAcentral describes it as "partial small subunit ribosomal RNA". Lineage: Eukaryota; Viridiplantae; Streptophyta; Magnoliopsida; Poales; Poaceae. The record is from RNAcentral.